RNAcentral lists this ribosomal RNA (413 nucleotides) under Serratia sp. (in: enterobacteria). RNAcentral's name for it is "bacterial SSU rRNA". It matches the Rfam family "Bacterial small subunit ribosomal RNA", at positions 632 to 1044 of the family's 1533-position model. Lineage: Bacteria; Pseudomonadati; Pseudomonadota; Gammaproteobacteria; Enterobacterales; Yersiniaceae. The record is from RNAcentral.
ACUGGCAAGCUAGAGUCUUGUAGAGGGGGGUCGAAUUCCUUGUGUAUCGGUGAAAUGCGUAGAGAUCUGGAGGAAUUCCUGUGGCGAAGGCGCCCGCCUGGACAAAGACUGACGCUCAGGUGCGAAAGCGUGGGGAGCAAACAGGAUUAGAUACCCUGGUAGUCCACGCUGUAAACGAUGUCGAUUUGGAGGUUGUGCCCUUGAGGCGUGGCUUCCGGAGCUAACGCGUUAAAUCGACCGCCUGGGGAGUACGGCCGCAAGGUUAAAACUCAAAUGAAUUGACGGGGGCCCGCACAAGCGGUGGAGCAUGUGGUUUAAUUCGAUGCAACGCGAAGAACCUUACCUACUCUUGACAUCCAGAGUAUUCGCUAGAGAUAGCUUAGUGCCUUCGGGAAUUCUAGACCAGGUGCUGC